GACGAACGCUGGCGGCGUGCUUAACACAUGCAAGUCGAACGGAAAGUCCCUGCUUUUGUGGGGUGCUCGAGUGGCAAACGUGUGAGUAACACGUGAGUAACCUGCCCUUGACUUUGGGAUAACUUCAGGAAACUGGGGCUAAUACCGGAUAGUAGCUCCGGCUCAUGGGUGGGGGUUGGAAAGUUUCGGCUGUUGGGGGUGGACUCUCGGCUUAUCAGCUUGUUGAGGGGGUAGUGGCUUACCAAGGCUUUGACGGGUAGCCGGAGGGAGAGGGUGACCGGGCACAUUGGGACUGAGAUACGGCCCAGACUCCUAUGGGAGGGAGAGGUGGGGAAUAUAGUACACUGGGCGGAAGACUGAGGCAGCAACGCUGCGUGCGGGAUGACGGCCUUCGGGUUGUAAACCGCUUUCGCCUGUGACGAAGCGUGAGUGACGGUAAUGGGUAAAGAAGCACCGGCUAACUACGUG
RNAcentral lists this ribosomal RNA (468 nucleotides) under uncultured bacterium. Its description in RNAcentral is "partial 16S ribosomal RNA". It matches the Rfam family "Bacterial small subunit ribosomal RNA", at positions 28 to 507 of the family's 1533-position model. The record is from RNAcentral.